GGCCGCGAUCCCGCGAUGCUGCUCACGGUGAAGGCGCUGCAGGGCCGGGGCUGCAGCCUGCAGGUCUCCCCGGACGAGCGCGUCAGCACCCUGAAGCGUCUGGUCUCAGAGAAGUUGAACGUCCCAGUCUCUCAGCAGCGGCUGCUUUUCAAGGGCAAGGCCCUGGCAGAUGAGCACCGGCUCUCGGACUAUUCCAUCGGCCCUGAGUCCAAGCUGAACCUGGUGAUCAAGCCGCCGGAGAAGGCUUCCCCCGAGGAGCCGGGGCUCAGGGGACCCCCGCCACCAUUCCCGACCAUCUGGCACCCACUGGGCCAGGUCCUGACUCGGCAUUUCAGCACAGCUGACGCGGAGAAGGUGCUGGAGCAGCUGCAGAAGGAUUAUGAGCGGAGCCUUCGUCUGCUGAGCCUGGAUGACAUUGAGCGGCUGGCCACGCGGCUGCUGCACCCAGAGGUGGCUGAUGCGGUGGAGAUGGGAUUCCUGGACUAGCACCCAGACAGCCGUGGGCCUGGGGGAAAGACUUCAGCCUGGCCCUCCCUGCACCUGGAACAAGGCGCCUGCAGGCAGGGCCCAGUAGGGGGCUUGGGGUCCCUCUGCCCCCUCCUCACGCCUCUGAACUGCUGCUAAGGAGCCUGUCUGUGUCUCCCAUUCCCCAUUAAAGGUGAUGACUAACACGGCUGUUACUCUGAAAUUUGUCACACUAUGCACCCUGUCAGUGUGCAAACCGAACCAGGGAAGGAAUGAGCCAACCAGCAGCCCAAAUUCAGUGAUGAAACCUGGUCAUGUCCAUCUGAGGCAUACGGUGCAUACACUAAGCAAUUUGCCCUGUAAAGCCAUUGGAACCAAUCAGUCUGGUUUUACGGUUAUGACUGCAUCAGUGCCGGAGUCCUAAAAAAAAUAACGCACAAUGUCAACAAGAAGACCUUACCCUUGACCCAGUGGAGCCAACAUCUGCUGCAACACGACCAGGAGCUGCUGCUGCUACUGACCUUGACAGGGGGCUGGGCCAAGAAAAACAGCGCCGCUGAACUGGUUCCUGGCUGAGAAGUAGAGCCUGGAUGCAGCAAAACACAAGAUCUCUUCCCUGCUGAGAAGCAGCCUCUGCAGCUGGAGCAGAGCAGCAGCCCAGGUCUCCAGGAAGAGCUGCCGGUGGUGGAGGAAGUACCAGUCGUGGGUGAGAUCUACGCUCCGCAACUACCACCUGUGCGCCAAGGGACAGAACAAAAUGGCAGCGUGGCCUGCUAACUGUGGCCUGUGACGGGGAGCCAGGCUGGUGCCCACACUGCAUUAGCCACUUAGUGCACCCAUCGCUUCCCUUCCUCCUUGAAAUUCUUUAGGCUGUAGGUGUCACCCCAGGUAACAGUCCAAGCCAGGUCUUUGCACAAACAGGUUUUAUUCCAUAACACCAACCCACCCUUGGAGUGGCUCAGAUACACAGGCAGCAAAAAACAGGGGGAGGGUGUGUGCGGUGUCUCUGCCACUGUCCCUGUCUCUCUACCCCCUCGCCCCCCGAAGCUUCUCAGGACACACCCCCACAGGUCAAGCAGGGGUGUAUGUGACACCGAGUAAGUCAGGCUCUGGGCAGGAAGGGGUGUCUCCCUGGAGUCAUGCUGGGAGAGCAGGGCCCAGGGCUUGGUUUGUAGGCACAGCCUCCCCUCACCACAGUUGCGUCUCCCGGAUUUCAGAAAUGGUCUGGCUGGCUCGCUGCAAGGCCUGAUGGGAGACAGAAGACAUUAGCAUAGGCAGGGGGCAGAGAGACCGCCCCCAAACACAGUCCUCCCCUCACCUGGAGCAGCCCAGCAGCCUCCUUGCGCUGCUGUGCCAUGUCCUCGGACUCUGUGAGCAGCAUGUCCAGCAGCUGCUGCUUGUAUAGCUGCCCAACCAGCUGGCUCUGCAGAUGGUCCUUGACAUAGUUCACCAGGAAAUGCAUGACCGUCUUGGGGACGCUGUGGGGUAGGGGCAAAGGUCACAAGGGCACCCAUCUAGAGCCCUUCCAACUCCCCGUGGCCCUUAGGGGUCCAGGAGAGGGGCUGCAGCCUCGCCCCCGUUCCCCCCACGUCUUACCUGUCCUGUAUGCUUUUGCGCACAAUGAGGAAAUAGGAUUUGAUGAGUCUGCGGAUCACCUCGCAAUCCCGCUGCUCCCGCUGGCUCAGCUUCCGUGUGGCCGGCAUAGGCUGUGGGGAGAGAGACAGGGCACGGGACUUCGAGGGAAAUGGGGGUCCCGCCAUGCAGGGCCUUCCCCCAGGGAUAACAGUAGUAAGGUUAUAAAACCAGGCAAUCUCCAGUAGCACAACGCUGGGAUCACACACAAAGGUCAGAAAAUUCUCCAACAAAGAGAUGGGUCGAAGCUGAAGCUAGAAACAUUGAGACUGGAAAUAAGGCAAAAAUCGUUAAGAGUGAAAGAACAGAUUGUGGUGGCCAGUUUUUCCCUAAGAAUGAUUUUGGGGCAGUUCUCUGGCCUGUGGGUGUUUGGGGGGUGGGAGGAAGGGGUGUCAGACUGGAUGAUCAAAAUGGUCCCCGCUGGCCUUGGCAGCGAAGCAGCUCUGAAAAGGCGCAAAGGGAGCCGGAGCAGCGAGAUUGGCCCAGACACAGGUCUCCUGCUGUCACUACCCCACCAUCGUGUGUGUGUGUGGGGGGGGGGACACGACUCACCGUGUCCAGCAGAUUGACAGCAUGGGAGCGACUGGGGCUGGAAUACAUGGGGGGCUGGGGGUUCCCCUUGGGCUUCUCCUCCAUGCCAGCAUCCUCCACUUUGUCACUCUUCCAGCGCCGGAUCCCCUCCGCAGGGGGGUCAUUCUGGGGAGAGCAGAGACCAGCUGGCCAUCAGCAUGUCAUGUGGGGAGGUCGGGGGCAACACUGGUGCCCAGUGGGGGGAAGAGGCUCAGCAGUAGGACAUGGGGGAGGGGAGCAGAGAGACAUUACCUUGCUGCUGCUGACAGAGGCAGACACCAGCGCUGUGUCAAUGAAGUCCGGGUGCUUGGUGUUAAUAUAGGCGAGCUCGAUUGCAACCAGAUUAUGAACCUGCAGGGGACAGCGAUGGGAUGGAGCCCGGUGAGGGAGCCAAGGAAUCCGGGCUCCCUGCACUGGGGCCCAGAAUAGUGGAUUAAAAACAAAAAACCCUAUGAGCUUCAAAAACAACACAAAAAAGUAUUUAAUUUAAACUCAAUAAAUGUGAUUUUUGUUGUGAAGCUGUUUAAAAUAAUAUUGAGAAUAUUGUGAGCUUAGCCCUUAACACAGGUUGCCAGAAUGGUAAUGGAUUUUAACCAAAAGCAGUACAUGUUUGCUGCUGACAUCUUAAAGAACAUCAAACCGCGGAAGUCACUGGCUCAGCCCUGGGAACCAGAGUUUGUGGAAGGUUAAAGCAGGUUUCGAUAGCAGAGAGAAUACUUCCUUCAUUUCAGUUCCUUCAAAGUUCAAAACCCAACCAGGAGUUGGACAAGCUGGAAUCCUUGUAAAAUCUCAGACUAGAAGAGGGAAACAACUAGUAGAUCUCGUGCUCUUACACUUAGCUUUCAUUCAAAGGACAUGGUGAAAGGCCUAUGUUGAAUAUAUCAGUUAGUUUUAAAUGCAAAACAUGUUUUGAUUUACAUUUGUUCUUAUGGACCAGCACAUUUAAGGUAAUUUAAUUUUCUUACUUGUAAUUUGUGUCCAACUCUGUUUGAAUGGAAACUAGAAUUCCAUUAAAAAUGCCCAGAAACAGCAUUUCAUGGUUUUUAUUAAUUAUCUAGUAAAUAAAAAUGCAUCAUUCACGAUUUUCUAACAUCAUAAAAUUAAACUCUGAAUAAAUGUAGGUCCAACUACAGAGAGGUUUAAAUAAAUCUGUACAGAUCUGGCACACCCGCCUGCACCGCAGACAGACGCUUCGUGUAAAGACCAUAGUCAGUUGCAAAGUAAUAUGGUUUAAUGGUUAUCAGCCAGUGAGAAUCCACCUUUUAAGUUAUCUUCCUAAAAAGUACAAAUGCAAAAUAUGAUUAAAGUUGGUGAUUUAAA
RNA transcript from Chelonia mydas (Green sea turtle), 3987 nucleotides. It is a transcript of the gene named ubiquitin like 4A, with no coding region annotated. The transcript is spliced from 7 exons. NCBI's taxonomy places the organism in Eukaryota, Metazoa, Chordata, Testudines, Cheloniidae. The record is from RefSeq and is a predicted model, not a curated record.